This 76-nucleotide transfer RNA is filed under the name Chloroflexota bacterium. Its description in RNAcentral is "Chloroflexi bacterium tRNA-Thr". It matches the Rfam family "tRNA". Rfam says of the family: Transfer RNA (tRNA) molecules are approximately 80 nucleotides in length. Their secondary structure includes four short double-helical elements and three loops (D, anti-codon, and T loops). Further hydrogen bonds mediate the characteristic L-shaped molecular structure. tRNAs have two regions of fundamental functional importance: the anti-codon, which is responsible for specific mRNA codon recognition, and the 3' end, to which the tRNAs corresponding amino acid is attached (by aminoacyl-tRNA synthetases). tRNAs cope with the degeneracy of the genetic code in two manners: having more than one tRNA (with a specific anti-codon) for a particular amino acid; and 'wobble' base-pairing, i.e. permitting non-standard base-pairing at the 3rd anti-codon position. Lineage: Bacteria; Bacillati; Chloroflexota. The record is from RNAcentral. RNAcentral also lists the same sequence under 3 other names.
GCCCAUGUAGCUCAGGCGGUAGAGCAUUUCCUUGGUAAGGAAAAGGUCCCCGGUUCGAAUCCGGGCAUGGGCUCCA